This 253-nucleotide ribosomal RNA is filed under the name uncultured bacterium. RNAcentral describes it as "partial 16S ribosomal RNA". It matches the Rfam family "Bacterial small subunit ribosomal RNA", at positions 524 to 776 of the family's 1533-position model. The record is from RNAcentral.
UACGUAGGUGGCAAGCGUUGUCCGGAUUUACUGGGCGUAAAGCGCGCGCAGGCGGACUGAUCAGUCUGGGGUGAAAUCUCCCGGCUCAACUGGGAGCGGUCCCUGGAUACUGUCAGUCUUGAGAGACCUAGAGGAGAGCGGAAUUCCCGGUGUAGUGGUGGAAUGCGUAGAUAUCGGGAAGAACAUCGGUGGCGAAGGCGGUCUGCUGGGCCGUUGCUGACGCUGAGGCGCGACAGCGUGGGGAGCAAACAGG